Molecule: long non-coding RNA, 1166 nt
Organism: Ruditapes philippinarum (Manila clam)
Lineage: Eukaryota; Metazoa; Mollusca; Bivalvia; Venerida; Veneridae
Exons: 2
Source: RefSeq, a predicted model, not a curated record
GUAAUAAUGUUUGAGUCUAAGUUUUCAUUUCUUAAAUAUUUUAUAUGUAAUCAUUCUCAGUAAAUAUGAAAGCUGUCAUAGCUUUUGUAAAGCAGAUACAAUUCUAUCUAACUUACAUACUGUUUUGAAAAAUGUAUGUUUGAUAUACAUGUGAUUCAUAAUCUAUACACCAAGCUCCUUAAAGCUACAUGCCUCCAGAUGAGUCAAAAUAUUUCAAUGAUAUCAAACUUGAGGAAAAUGUACUAAGCUGUAAGGAAAAGUAAAAAGUUUCAAGAUUCAAGUAAUAAUUUACAUAUUGUGUGUGAUUAAUGACUGAUUGUUUAGUAUAAACAACUUUUUGCUACUGUGUUACUAAUGCAGUGAAGGUUAUUUAUGCAUAUUUUGACAGCUUUUGGUAAUUAACAUGGUUUGUAAGUGCCAUUGAUAAUUUGUAAAUUGCUUUCUUUUGGUUACUACACAAUAUUACACAUACAAAUACAUUUUCAAAAUUUUCAUGAAAAUUAGCAUGAAUCUGAAGGCGUGCUGCUUUAAAGUGAAUAAAUUUAAGCCAUUAUCUGAUAAAAAUUAUAUAGAAAUUUAAAAACAAUGAAAUUAUGUUGUUUUCAUUAACAUAUCAAGCGGGCCCUUCUUUUCCUACUUUUUUUGAUUGACCCCUACUUUUCCCUACUUUUUUCUUGAAAUGCCCUACUAUCCCUACUUUUUUAAGAAAAAAGCUCGAGGAUAAUUAAAAAAAUCCAUAAGUAGUAGAUUGAUUUUGAUAUAAUCUUUAUCUCAAAUUUAAUAAGAAUCAGAUGCUAGUUUAAUUGUAGGAAAAAAUUGAUGGAAGUAGGUCAUCAGUGGUGCAAGAGGGGUUCCAUGAUGAGGAUGGUUGGAGCUGACAUGGCAGAAUCAGUGACUUUAGGUUCAUGUCCAGAGUCAUCCUGUUGUGGAAUCCCUAUUGAGACACUGGUGACUGGUUUCCUAAAUGAAGAAAAUGCCAUGGAUAUUAGUUGAUAAGGGUCUGUAUUUGUUUUUGCAUCAACUUUGGAAAAAAGGUGAGUAGAGAGUCCUACUUUCCCUACUUUUAGGCUCUGAAAUCCCUACUUUUCCCUACUUUUUUACAAAAAAAAUCCUACUUUUAUCCCUACUUUUUUGUUAUUGGCCACUUGAAAGCCUGCAUAUGGUAA